Molecule: microRNA precursor, 103 nt
Filed under: Marmota monax (woodchuck)
Lineage: Eukaryota; Metazoa; Chordata; Mammalia; Rodentia; Sciuridae
Source: RNAcentral
AGUGGGAUAGCUGGGUCAAAUCGUGGUUCCAUUCUAAGUUUUCUAAGGAAUCUCCAUACUGCUUUCCAGAAUGGUUCCACCAAUUUGCAGUCCCAGCAGCAAU